UCUCCUGCUUCCCUCAUCUGUUCUCUUCCAAAGAAGCUGGUCCUUAGCCUGUAUUGCGGAGCAAGCUUUCGGCGACCAGCUGGACCCUGGGCACCCUUCUUCGAACAAUGGCUUUUAAUUCUCAGACUAGAACGUUUAGGAUUACAAAAGAAACUGGUUCUUUUCACAUUCUUAUUCUUGUGAUGUAGCAUUCCGCAUAUAUAUAUAUAUAUAUAUAUAUAUAUAUAUAUAUAUGUAUCCAACUAUCCUAAAAGACACUACCCUUCAUCAUUCCAUGCCAUUAGACAUGUAUAGGACCAUGCAUGGUGAUCUCCUCCAGACAAAAGUAAAUGCUGGUGCAGAACAGGAUUUGAGUUUGAUGUCUUGCAUACAAUGUGAUCCCACUGUAUGACUACACAAAUGUUGGCAAAAGUGAGUUCAGAGGAAAUGGUAGGCAAGUACUUCCCAGUUUUGGCCAGAAGAUGGAGAAAAAAGAAUUCUCAAAAAAUGUUAAAGGUGUCUACAGAGAAAUAGACAAGUGAUGCACGACAGAUACAUGUGUCAGUCUGGUCCCUGCAGUUGUAUUUGUAAUAAUACACAUUGGAGCAAUUUCAUGGCCAUCGGUUAGAGAAUGUUUGAGGAAUGAUCCAUUCAUAUCAAGAAGGACAUUUCAAAGAUCAAAACCUGAUGGAAAUGCUGGAGACCAUGGCGCUGAUAGGAGCUCAUGCGUGUGGACCAAUUACUACGUGACAGGCAUUGGCUCCAUGCUUUUCCUGCACUGCUCAUUUAAACACUGGACAACCUAAGUGUUCUGAUUUAUCCCAUUGGACAGAUAGAAA
Molecule: long non-coding RNA, 818 nt
Filed under: Homo sapiens (human)
Lineage: Eukaryota; Metazoa; Chordata; Mammalia; Primates; Hominidae
Description: non-protein coding LINC01719:23
Source: RNAcentral